GACGAACGCUGGCGGCGUGCUUAACACAUGCAAGUCGAACGGAAAGGCCCUGCUUUUGUGGGGUGCUCGAGUGGCGAACGGGUGAGUAACACGUGAGUAACCUGCCCUUGACUUUGGGAUAACUUCAGGAAACUGGGGCUAAUACCGGAUAGGAGCUCUUGCUGCAUGGGGGGGGUUGGAAAGUUUCGGCGGUUGGGGAUGGACUCGCGGCUUAUCAGCUUGUUGGUGGGGUAGUGGCUUACCAAGGCUUUGACGGGUAGCCGGCCUGAGAGGGUGACCGGCCACAUUGGGACUGAGAUACGGCCCAGACUCCUACGGGAGGCAGCAGUGGGGAAUAUUGCACAAUGGGCGGACGCCUGAUGCAGCAACGCCGCGUGCGGGAUGACGGCCUUCGGGUUGUAAACCGCUUUCUCCUGUAACGAGGCGUGAGUGACGGUAAUGGGUAAAGAAGCACCGGCUAACUACGUG
RNAcentral lists this ribosomal RNA (468 nucleotides) under uncultured bacterium. RNAcentral describes it as "partial 16S ribosomal RNA". It matches the Rfam family "Bacterial small subunit ribosomal RNA", at positions 28 to 507 of the family's 1533-position model. The record is from RNAcentral.